CCUACGGGGGACAGCAGUGAGGAAUAUUGGUCAAUGGGCGCGAGCCUGAACCAGCCAAGUAGCGUGAAGGAUGACUGCCCUAUGGGUUGUAAACUUCUUUUAUAAAGGGAUAAAGGGAGCCACGUGUGCCUGUUUGCAUGUACCUUAUGAAUAAGGAUCGGCUAACUCCGUGCCAGCAGCCGCGGUAAUACGGAGGAUCCGAGCGUUAUCCGGAUUUAUUGGGUUUAAAGGGAGCGUAGAUGGGUUGUUAAGUCAGUUGUGAAAGUUUGCGGCUCAACCGUAAAAGUGCAAUUGAUACUGGCAGUCUUGAGUACAGUUGAGGUAGGCGGAAUUCGUGGUGUAGCGGUGAAAUGCUUAGAUAUCACGAAGAACUCCGAUUGCGAAGGCAGCUUGCUAAACUGCCACUGACGUUGAUGCUCGAAAGUGUGGGUAUCGAACAGGAUUAGAUACCCGGGUAGUC
RNAcentral lists this ribosomal RNA (460 nucleotides) under uncultured bacterium. RNAcentral describes it as "partial 16S ribosomal RNA". It matches the Rfam family "Bacterial small subunit ribosomal RNA", at positions 338 to 795 of the family's 1533-position model. The record is from RNAcentral.